CACUCCUACGGGAGGCAGCAGUGGGGAAUAUUGCACAAUGGGCGCAAGCCUGAUGCAGCCAUGCCGCGUGUAUGAAGAAGGCCUUCGGGUUGUAAAGUACUUUCAGCGGGGAGGAAGGCAAUACGGUUAAUAACCGUGUUGAUUGACGUUACCCGCAGAAGAAGCACCGGCUAACUCCGUGCCAGCAGCCGCGGUAAUACGGAGGGUGCAAGCGUUCAUCGGAAUUACUGGGCGUAAAGCGCACGCAGGCGGUCUGUCAAGUCGGAUGUGAAAUCCCCGGGCUCAACCUGGGAACUGCAUUCGAAACUGGCAGGCUUGAGUCUUGUAGAGGGGGGUAGAAUUCCAGGUGUAGCGGUGAAAUGCGUAGAGAUCUGGAGGAAUACCGGUGGCGAAGGCGGCCCCCUGGACAAAGACUGACGCUCAGGUGCGAAAGCGUGGGGAGCAAACAGGAUUAGAAACCCGUGUAGUCCCAUGAU
This 476-nucleotide ribosomal RNA is filed under the name uncultured organism. Its description in RNAcentral is "partial 16S ribosomal RNA". It matches the Rfam family "Bacterial small subunit ribosomal RNA", at positions 334 to 801 of the family's 1533-position model. The record is from RNAcentral.